GAGGGUAUAGCUCAGUGGUAGAGCACAUGUUUAGCAUGCACAAAAUCCUGGUUCAAUCCCCAGUACUUCCA
Molecule: transfer RNA, 71 nt
Filed under: Camelus bactrianus (Bactrian camel)
Lineage: Eukaryota; Metazoa; Chordata; Mammalia; Artiodactyla; Camelidae
Also listed under: 2 other names
Rfam family: tRNA
About the family: Transfer RNA (tRNA) molecules are approximately 80 nucleotides in length. Their secondary structure includes four short double-helical elements and three loops (D, anti-codon, and T loops).
Source: Rfam by way of RNAcentral